GCAUUCUGGGGGCUGUUUUGGCUUUUGGUUGCUUGCUUGGCUUUUUGCUGGGUGGGUCGCUACUAGUCGGACGGUUUUCGGGAAUGUCGACCGUAAAGGUGCAUGAGUGGUGUUUGGUUUGUUACGGGUGGUUGGCUGUCUGCUCGCGCAGCAACGUCCAUGCGUGCAUACCUCUUCAGUUUUGCGGCAAGGCUUUAAUUGUCUUGAGCAUAUUGUGGGUUUCUUGUGUUCCAUACCUAAUCGAUGGUAAUGUGUGGGUUUUAUGAUGUCCCUUUUCKUCUUCCRUNGCUCAUGCGGUGUGGGAUGACCAUUGAAGCGGUAUUUGUGAUCCAUAUUGUUGUUUCAUUUUCAACGAUGAUGUGGCUCAUGAACGAUCGUUUGGUUUCUUGUAUACGGAACCUAAUGCGGCCAUGGGUCUUUUAUAAGAUCUUGAAUUUGCCUUUGUUAAGCGUUCUUGCUUCUCUAAAACGAUUGCCUACCAUGUCUUGGCUUGUCCUUGCAUGGUGGGCUACGUCGA
Molecule: unclassified non-coding RNA, 517 nt
Filed under: Goniocaulon indicum
Lineage: Eukaryota; Viridiplantae; Streptophyta; Magnoliopsida; Asterales; Asteraceae
Description: partial external transcribed spacer
Source: RNAcentral